UACUCCUACGGGAGGCAGCAGUGGGGAAUAUUGGACAAUGGGCGCAAGCCUGAUCCAGCAAUGCCGCGUGAGUGAUGAAGGCCUUAGGGUCGUAAAGCUCUUUUACCCGGGAUGAUAAUGACAGUACCGGGAGAAUAAGCCCCGGCUAACUCCGUGCCAGCAGCCGCGGUAAUACGGAGGGGGCUAGCGUUGUUCGGAAUUACUGGGCGUAAAGCGCACGUAGGCGGUUACUCAAGUCAGAGGUGAAAGCCCGGGGCUCAACCCCGGAACUGCCUUUGAAACUAGGUGACUAGAAUCUUGGAGAGGCGAGUGGAAUUCCGAGUGUAGAGGUGAAAUUCGUAGAUAUUCGGAAGAACACCAGUGGCGAAGGCGACUCGCUGGACAAGUAUUGA
Molecule: ribosomal RNA, 392 nt
Filed under: uncultured bacterium
Lineage: Bacteria
Description: bacterial SSU rRNA
Rfam family: Bacterial small subunit ribosomal RNA
Source: RNAcentral